GACGAACGCUGGCGGCGUGCUUAACACAUGCAAGUCGAACGGAAAGGCCCUGCUUGCAGGGUGCUCGGAUGGCGAACGGGUGAGUAACACGUGGGUGAUCUGCCCCUUACUUUGCGAUAAGCAUGGGAAACUAGGUCUAGUACUGGCUAGGUCCAUGCUGUAGGCGCUGUGGUGGAAAGAUUAGUUUCGGUUAGGGAGGAGCUCGCGGCCUAUCAGCUUGUUUGUGGGGUAAUGGCCUACCAAGGCGUCGACGGGUAGCCGGCCUGAGGGGGUGGACGGCCACAUUGGGACUGAGAGACGGGCAAGACUCCUACGGGUGGGAGCAGUGGGGAAUGUUGCACAAUGGGAGGAAGCCUGAUGCAGCGACGCCGCGUGGGGGAUGACGGCCUUCGGGUUGUAAACUCCUUUCAGCCAUGACGAAGCCCUUGUGGUGACGGUAGUGAUAGAAGAAGCACCGGCUAACUACGUG
RNAcentral lists this ribosomal RNA (469 nucleotides) under uncultured bacterium. RNAcentral's name for it is "partial 16S ribosomal RNA". It matches the Rfam family "Bacterial small subunit ribosomal RNA", at positions 28 to 507 of the family's 1533-position model. The record is from RNAcentral.